Pseudophryne corroboree (corroboree frog) is the source of this 396-nucleotide long non-coding RNA. RefSeq lists it as uncharacterized. The record is from RefSeq and is a predicted model, not a curated record. Lineage: Eukaryota; Metazoa; Chordata; Amphibia; Anura; Myobatrachidae. The transcript is spliced from 3 exons.
AACCUUAUUUCACCAGACAAACUCAUCCAACAGAGACAACCAUGUCAGCAAAGGGUGCAGCUCAAUGCAAAGAUCCCUGUGCUCCAGCACCAGUAUGCCAGGAUCCAUGCGCCCCACAAAAAUGCCCCCCACAACAAUGCCCCCAGCCUGUGUGCCAAGAUCCAUGUGCUGACCCCUGCCAGCAACAAGGCAAAGGACAAGGUGCAUUCGGUAGUCAGGGAGGAUUUGGGGGAGGAUAUGGUGGUGUCAAGAAGUGAAGAUCAUUGGAAAAAUCCUUCCACACUACUGUAACAUAUAUAAAUUAAAUAUGCUGUAACCUUAAUCUGUAUGGAUAAGAACAGUUUAAAAUAUCUUGAUCAUGUUCUAUUUUACUUAUUAAAGCAUUCCUCUGAUUAA